AAAACCAAAUCUAUCAUCUUCAUCGUCUUCGUGACUUUCAAUUUUUCUUCUCUAACAAAGGUUUUUCCUUUUGUUUAGUAAAGAGAUGCAACAAAUUAUUUUUCUCACAAAAAAAUAUUUUAGUUUGGAGUGUGCAAUGGCGAUAACGUUGGAGACAUCGAUAUAGACGACGGCGAAAAUGGAGACAACAACACAGACAACAUCGAUGAUGGAAAUGUAAACCACGUCAAUAUAGAUGACAAGCAAACCCCAAGGCAUCUCCUCCUUCUUUCUCUGCUGCGAUCCUUUCUUGAUUUCAUAUUCUGCCCGUGACAAAAGAUAUCUCCGGUGAACCCUUUUGAUUAUGUACCAUCCAAAUAUAUGUUAUGUUGCAUCUGUUCCAAAGGACGAAGACAAUCUCC
RNAcentral lists this long non-coding RNA (401 nucleotides) under Brassica napus (rape). RNAcentral describes it as "long non-coding RNA (BNAP_LNC020433)". Lineage: Eukaryota; Viridiplantae; Streptophyta; Magnoliopsida; Brassicales; Brassicaceae. The record is from RNAcentral.